ACAUCUAGACAUGACAUACAUACUAAAACAUGUGCCCGGAUGCAAUAGAAAACAUGUCAUAACAAACACAGAACAGAUUAGAGAGCAAAUAGAAAAACCACUACUGUCAUGAUCGCUUCAGCUUCGCUUAGCGAAGGCUUAGCGAAGCUUCGCUGCAGGCUCGCCUAGCGAUGGGCUAGCGAACGCCUACGGGUUCUGGGUUCUUCAUUGAUAACAGUCCGAUUUCAGAAACCCCAAACCCUAUGGUGCUCAUUUCAGAAACCGAGUGAUCAAACAUUCAAGGUAUUGUUCUACACAUUCAUGCACAUCUAAACCCAUAUGCAAAACCUAACGAUACCCACUCUUCCAAAUUCACCCAUAAUACCUCAUACAUUCAGAAAUUUCAAAUUGAAAGCAUAAAGUAGUGGGAAUAGGGCAUACCUGAUUGGAGAGAUCGAUUGAAAUUGAAAAGCACGGUUGGGUUUGCAAAGCAAUGUUAGGGUUUAUGUGAGAUGGAAGUGAAAAGUGUGUGAGUGUGAGUGAAAAGUGUGUUUUUCUCUUCAGUGUCUGGAGGCCGCUGCAGAUUAGUUAGUUAGCUAGCUAGGGUUUUGUUCCAAUGAAAUUUUAGAAUUUAUACUCUGACUUUGUGGCUUGGUGGGCUCAGAAUGAAGGCAAUUCAAGCCCAUGAUCUUUUCUGUUAUAUUUUUUUAUUUUCAAAACGCAUGGGCUUCGCCUAGCGAAGAAUCUGCUCGCCUAGCGAGCAUGACAGUUCAGGAAGC
Molecule: long non-coding RNA, 758 nt
Filed under: Lathyrus oleraceus (garden pea)
Lineage: Eukaryota; Viridiplantae; Streptophyta; Magnoliopsida; Fabales; Fabaceae
Description: Pisum sativum (pea) long non-coding RNA (PSAT_LNC024502)
Source: RNAcentral